Molecule: ribosomal RNA, 253 nt
Filed under: uncultured bacterium
Lineage: Bacteria
Description: partial 16S ribosomal RNA
Rfam family: Bacterial small subunit ribosomal RNA
Source: RNAcentral
UACGAAGGGGGCUAGCGUUGCUCGGAAUUACUGGGCGUAAAGGGCGCGUAGGCGGAUACUUAAGUUAGAGGUGAAAGCCCAGGGCUCAACCUUGGAACUGCCUUUGAUACUGGCUAUCUUGAGUUCGGGAGAGGUGAGUGGAAUGCCGAGUGUAGAGGUGAAAUUCGUAGAUAUUCGGCGGAACACCAGUGGCGAAGGCGACUCACUGGCCCGAUACUGACGCUGAGGUGCGAAAGCGUGGGGAGCAAACAGG